Molecule: ribosomal RNA, 408 nt
Filed under: uncultured bacterium
Lineage: Bacteria
Description: partial 16S ribosomal RNA
Rfam family: Bacterial small subunit ribosomal RNA
Source: RNAcentral
GACGAACGCUGGCGGCGUGCCUAAUACAUGCAAGUCGACCUUAGUGGCUAACGGUUGAGUAACACGUGGGUAACCUGCCCAUCAGAAGGGGAUAACAAUUGGAAACAGGUGCUAAUACCGUAUACUGAUGGAUGGACCCGGGGUGCAUUAGCUAGUUGGUGAGGUAACGGCUCACCAAGGCCACGAUGCAUAGCCGCUCUGAGAGGGUGUCCGGCCACAUGGGGACUGAGACACGGCCCAAACUCCUACGGGAGGCAGCAGGAGGGAAUCUUCGGAAAUGGGCGAAAGGCUGACCGAGCAAUGCCGCGUGGGUGAAGAAGGUUUUCGGAUCGUAAAACUCUGUUGUUAGAGAAGCGGUAUCUAACCAGAAAGCCACGGCUAACUACGUGCCAGCAGCCGCGGUAAUUC